CCUACGGGUGGCAGCAGUGAGGAAUAUUGGGCAAUGGGGGCAACCCUGACCCAGCCAUGCCGCGUGAGUGAAGAAGGUCUUCGGUAUGUAAAACUCUUUCGGACGUGAAGCAGAUGACGGUACCGUCCACAGAAGCACCGGCAAACUACGUGCCAUCAGCCGCGGUAAUACGGAGGGAGCCGGCGUUAUCCGGAAUUACUGGGCGUAAGGGGGGUGUAGUCGGUUAUGUAAGUGCGCAGUGAAAGGCCUGGGCUCAACCCCGGGACUGCCAUUUAAACUGGGUAUCUAGAGUGAGGGAGAGGUAAGCGGAAUACGCGGUGUAGCGGUGAAAUGCGUAGAUAUUGGGUAGAACACCGGUGGCGAAGGCGGCUAGCUGGC
RNAcentral lists this ribosomal RNA (378 nucleotides) under uncultured bacterium. Its description in RNAcentral is "partial 16S ribosomal RNA". It matches the Rfam family "Bacterial small subunit ribosomal RNA", at positions 338 to 733 of the family's 1533-position model. The record is from RNAcentral.